UACGACUACAUAUCAGGCAUAUCAAUAAGCGGAGGAAAAGAAACUAACAAGGAUUCCCCUAGUAACGGCGAGUGAGGCGGGAAGAGCUCAGAUUUGAAAUCUUAAAGGGUUUCCCUUUACGAAUUGUAGUUUAAAGAAGUGUUUUCUGUUGGAGUUUCGGUAAAAGUUCUUUGGAAUAGGACAUCAUAGAGGGUGAGAAUCCCGUAUUUGACCGUUACUUUCCAGCUGUGUGAUACACUUUCAAAGAGUCGGAUUGUUUGGGAAUGCAGUCCAAGAUGGGUGGUAAAUUUCAUCUAAAGCUAAAUAUUGGCGAGAGACCGAUAGCGAACAAGUACCGUGAGGGAAAGAUGAAAAGAACUUUGAAAAGAGAGUUAAACAGUACGUGAAAUUGUCAAAAGGGAAGCGUUUGACACCAGUGUUGUUUAGUUGAAAAUCAAUUCAAUAGUUUUUGAUUCUAAGUAGUAUUGACUUCAUCAGCUUGCUGCUUUCUUCUCAGAAAUUAUUGAAUGCACUUUUCAGUUAACAAGUCAACAUCAAUUUCUUUUGUUGUAAAAGGGUAAGAGGAAGGUGGCUUGCGCUUCGGCUCAAGUGUUUAUAGCCUUUUAUCUCUGCAAUCGGAGAGAUUGAGGUCUGCAGCGUAGAUCCUUCGGGGUUAGAUACAUUGGUGCUAAGCUAUAGCCUUGUAUAGACAACUUGUUGACUAUGCUCAGUCAUGUAGCUUACUCGCUGAUGCUAUUUUACCUACGCUUAGGAUGUUGAGUAGCGACAUACGCAC
RNAcentral lists this ribosomal RNA (775 nucleotides) under uncultured Neocallimastigales. RNAcentral's name for it is "partial large subunit ribosomal RNA". It matches the Rfam family "Eukaryotic large subunit ribosomal RNA", at positions 24 to 649 of the family's 3401-position model. Lineage: Eukaryota; Fungi; Neocallimastigomycota; Neocallimastigomycetes; Neocallimastigales. The record is from RNAcentral.